RNAcentral lists this ribosomal RNA (274 nucleotides) under uncultured bacterium. Its description in RNAcentral is "partial 16S ribosomal RNA". It matches the Rfam family "Bacterial small subunit ribosomal RNA", at positions 523 to 796 of the family's 1533-position model. The record is from RNAcentral.
AGACGGAGGGGGCUAGCGUUGUUCGGAAUUACUGGGCGUAAAGGGCGCGUAGGCGGCUUGUUUAGUCAGGCGUGAAAGCCCCGGGCUUAACCUGGGAACUGCGUUUGAUACUGAUAGACUAGAGGCCGGGAGAGGGUAGUGGAAUUCCCAGUGUAGAGGUGAAAUUCGUAGAUAUUGGGAAGAACACCAGUGGCGAAGGCGGCUACCUGGACCGGACCUGACGCUGAGGUGCGAAAGCGUGGGGAGCAAACAGGAUUAGAAACCCCAGUAGUCC